AUUUCUUCGGAAUGAAGUUUUAGUGACUGAGUGGCGGACGGGUGAGUAACGCGUGGGUAACCUGCCUCACACAGGGGGAUAACAGUUGGAAACGGCUGCUAAUACCGCAUAAGCGCACGGGAUCGCAUGAUCCAGUGUGAAAAACUCCGGUGGUACAGGAUGGACCCGCGUCUGAUUAGCUAGUUGGUGGGGUAACGGCCUACCAAGGCGACGAUGCGUAGCCGGACUGAGAGGUUGAUCGGCCACACUGGGACUGAGACACGGCCCAGACUCC
This 274-nucleotide ribosomal RNA is filed under the name uncultured Eubacteriales bacterium. Its description in RNAcentral is "uncultured Clostridiales bacterium partial 16S ribosomal RNA". It matches the Rfam family "Bacterial small subunit ribosomal RNA", at positions 72 to 339 of the family's 1533-position model. Lineage: Bacteria; Bacillati; Bacillota; Clostridia; Eubacteriales. The record is from RNAcentral.